Molecule: ribosomal RNA, 330 nt
Filed under: Vibrio parahaemolyticus
Lineage: Bacteria; Pseudomonadati; Pseudomonadota; Gammaproteobacteria; Vibrionales; Vibrionaceae
Description: partial 23S ribosomal RNA
Rfam family: Bacterial large subunit ribosomal RNA
Source: RNAcentral
CCCCGAGGAAAAGAAAUCAACCGAGAUUCCGAAAGUAGCGGCGAGCGAAAUUGGACUAGCCCUUAAGCUUUACACGCGUUAGACGAACGGUCUGGAAAGUCCGACGAUACAGGGUGAUAGUCCCGUAGUUGACGACGUGUGUUCAGUGAAAUCGAGUAGGGCGGGACACGUGAUAUCCUGUCUGAAUAUGGGGGGACCAUCCUCCAAGGCUAAAUACUACUGACUGACCGAUAGUGAACCAGUACCGUGAGGGAAAGGCGAAAAGAACCCCUGUGAGGGGAGUGAAAUAGAACCUGAAACCGUGUACGUACAAGCAGUAGGAGCAGGCUU